AGCCCUGGGGUGUUACACAUCAGAUUGCAAAUCUGAAGAAGCAGGCUUAAUACCUGCCAGGACUU
RNAcentral lists this transfer RNA (65 nucleotides) under Poeciliopsis fasciata (San Jeronimo livebearer). RNAcentral's name for it is "tRNA-Cys". It matches the Rfam family "tRNA". From Rfam's summary of the family: Transfer RNA (tRNA) molecules are approximately 80 nucleotides in length. The record is from RNAcentral. Lineage: Eukaryota; Metazoa; Chordata; Actinopteri; Cyprinodontiformes; Poeciliidae.